CUCAGUGUUAUGGAGCUUUGGGAGGAACUGUGGUCCUCCAGCUGAUGGACAAUACCUCAGGAAUAUCUAGAUACCAAUGGUCAAUCAAAACAACAAUCAAUGCAAAUACAACAACAAUAACAACAAUACUCAGCGGGAGCAAUAAUCCUUUUGUGUUUAAUGCGAUAGAAAACAGAUCCUUCUUUACUCCCAGUAAUGGAACAUUUAGGAUCAACAACCUGAGCUGGACUGAUGGAGGUGAAUAUAAACUUGAAAUCAUUGGUUCAGAUGGAUUGGUAUCAGAGCAGCGGACUCUACAGUUGACCAUUCAAGGUAAAUCACUCUUUUGCGAAUUUAGUGGUAUAAAUAGACACACAUGUCAUAUUCUAUUGUUGAACUACAUAUAUAUUUCAUAUUCUACAUAUAUCUCUGUAUGUAUGUCUGGCCUGUUCUGUAUUAGAAACUGUAUAAAAUGACCAAGAUUCUGUUAAUAUGAAAAGUCAUCUGAGUGUGUUUCCUUCAGCUCCUGUGUCCUCUGUCCUGCUGGUCUCUGAGUGUCUGUCCCAGGGAGAGAUGAGGGUGUCCUGCUCCUCUAAGGGAGGGGACAGUCCUCAGUACAGCUGGACUCUGGAUGGACGCACACUGACAGACGCUGAGCUCCUCUCUGGAAAUACUGAGACUGACAGCAUCACUCUGAAACAAAACGUCUCAGGACGACUGGUCUGCUCAGUAAGGAAUAAAGUCAGUAAUGUCUCAGAAGAAAAGACAUUAUCUACAUGUGGCUUCAAAUUCAUUAACUGCACCUUAACAGACGGGACGAACAUAUCACAGUGGGUGUUUCCAGCCAAUAAUACCCUGUGUGAUUCGCCAACAACUACUCCUACCACGAGUACAUACACCACUGUGGGUAAGACGACUGGCAUCACAGUGUCAAUUAACCCCUGCACUAAUAACACAUCCUCCAAUCAAAAUGUGAC
This 956-nucleotide long non-coding RNA is filed under the name Sander lucioperca (pikeperch). RNAcentral describes it as "lncRNA (ENSSLUG00000012754.1)". The record is from RNAcentral. Lineage: Eukaryota; Metazoa; Chordata; Actinopteri; Perciformes; Percidae.